GGCUCAGGAUGAACGCUAGCUACAGGCUUAACACAUGCAAGUCGAGGGGCAGCAGGGCAAUAGCUUGCUAUUGCUGCUGGCGACCGGCGCACGGGUGAGUAACGCGUAUCCAACCUACCCCGCGGUCAGGGACAGCCCGGCGAAAGUCGGAUUAAUACCUGAUGCAGUCAGAAGAGGGCAUCUGAUUUUGACGAAAGAUUGAUCGCCUCGGGAUGGGGAUGCGUAGGAUUAGGCAGGCGGCGGGGUAACGGCCCACCGCGCCGACGAUCCUUAGGGGUUCUGAGAGGAAGGUCCCCCACACUGGUACUGAGACACGGACCAGACUCCUACGGGAGGCAGCAGUGAGGAAUAUUGGUCAAUGGGCGCGAGCCUGAACCAGCCAAGUAGCGUGCAAGGAUGACGGCCCUAUGGGUUGUAAACUGCUUUUAUGCGGGGAUAAAGUGCGGCACGUGUGCCGUUUUGUAGGUACCGCAUGAAUAAGGACCGGCUAAUUCCGUGCCAGCAGCUGC
Molecule: ribosomal RNA, 509 nt
Filed under: uncultured bacterium
Lineage: Bacteria
Description: bacterial SSU rRNA
Rfam family: Bacterial small subunit ribosomal RNA
Source: RNAcentral